Sarcophilus harrisii (Tasmanian devil) is the source of this 1401-nucleotide non-coding RNA. The record is from the annotation of a RefSeq genome assembly. NCBI's taxonomy places the organism in Eukaryota, Metazoa, Chordata, Mammalia, Dasyuromorphia, Dasyuridae.
ACUACCAGCCAAAAGGUCAUCUGUCAGACACUUUUCCCUCUCCAACUAAGCAACUCAUUGAAAAAUCUUUCAAUUGCUUUAGCAAUAGUUCACUCCUCUUCUAGGAUUGCUUCUACUUGGUAGGCUCACUAUAGGGUUUUAAUUUAGGAAAAAGUCUUGUAAUCUCUGAGACAUAAAUCAAUUAAUUGCCUGGGAACAAGUCACAUUUGUACUAAUGUGACAAUCGGUUUGACCUGUGGGGCAAAGGAACUGUCGUGACCAUCUCUUCAGAUCCCAAGGCCUCACCCAGAGUCUUCCCCCUGAGCUCUGGGACUAGUGACUCAAUGGUCCUAGGCUGUCUGGCUCAAGGCUUCUUCCCAGAGCCUGUGAACAUGACAUGGAAUUAUAGUGGUCUUGGCGGCACAAUAAGGAAUUACCCUGCUAUGCUUAGUGGCAACACCUACCUUCAAACCAGUGUACUAGAUCUUCCUGCAAGCCAGUGCUCCAGUAGCCAGUCCUACCAGUGCCAUGUCGAACACUAUAGUACCAAUAAUAAGCUGACGGUUCCCUGCCAAGAACUUCCAAACGAUUGUCCUUGCGAAACUACUUAUGUAUCCCUGAGUCCUCCCUCCCUGGAAAGCUUGCUUUUGGGCACAGGCGCUAAUCUGACAUGUACACUCGGUGGCCUCAAAAACAGCAAAGGAGUCAAGUUUACCUGGGAAAAAACUCCAACCCAGGCAUCAACUUUCAACCCUAUUCAGGGAACACCUCAGCAGGACUCAAGUGGCAAGUAUAGUGUGUCCAGUGUCCUGGAGAUCUAUGCUGAGGAGUGGACCCGUGGGGAUACCUUUUCUUGCACCGUGUCCCACUCUGAAAUAGAAACCACCACCAAGACUAUCUACAAAUCAAAAGAGAGCCAGAUGCCACCCCAAGUCUACCUGCUGCCACCAUCAGCAGAUGAAGUCUCCUUAAAUGAAGUGGUAUCAAUCAUAUGCAUAGUGAGGAAUUUCAGCCCAAAGGAAGCAUUGCUACACUGGCUGAAAGGGUCUGAGAAGCUGCCCAGAAAGGACUACAUCAUCAGUGGCCCUUACCCAGAGCCUAGGGGCACCAACACUUUUAUGAUAAUCAGCAUCAUACAGGUCUCAGCCUCUGAAUGGAAUAAAUACAACUAUUCCUGCGUGGUAGGCCAUGAAGCUCUUCCCUUGAACUUCACCCAGCAAACCAUUGACCGAUUCUCUGGUAAACCCACCAAUGUCAAUGUAUCUGUCAUCAUGUCUGAUGUCUAUGGUACAUGUUAUUGAACUCAGCCUAAACCAUCAGGUCCCCAUCAUUGUCCAGAACUUGAGUUACAAGGCAAUGGGGAAAUGGAAGUAGAUCUAUAGAAAAGUAUCUAUUGGAAUAAAUCUUGAGACUCAGAAGCAA